UGAUAUAUUGUUGAACAUGUUUCUGUGUUUUAUUGUUAUGUGAAUGCAUACUUAUUGAGCUUGUACAUGUUACAUCAUAUCUGGUUGCAUUACACAUGUUUGAAGGGAUGAAAACCACAUGCACUUUUGUGAACUUUUAACUGUGUGACAAAGUUGUAGUAAAGUAACUUCAUGGUAUUUGCAUGUGCUUUUGCUUUGUU
RNAcentral lists this long non-coding RNA (200 nucleotides) under Vigna radiata. RNAcentral describes it as "long non-coding RNA (VRAD_LNC012655)". Lineage: Eukaryota; Viridiplantae; Streptophyta; Magnoliopsida; Fabales; Fabaceae. The record is from RNAcentral.